CCAAUACAGUGCCUGGAACAGAGUGAUGGGUAAGCAUUGUCCGUGAUGAUUUUGUAGAGAGGAAUAGCGUGUUUUACAUAAACAGUGCCGAGUAUCACAGCCUGGAUCCUCUCCCUGUGUUUUGGCAAAGUGCUUUGUUUUAGCUCAAGCCCGAAGAGUGAUUUUGAGUUGUUCUACUUUCCCACAUCUACUGGCCCCAAAUCUGCUUCCAUUGCAUUCUUUCCCACAGUUUCCUUCAUUGAGAGCUCAUUUCAUAACCCUCUUUGCCCUUGGCUCCCCGCCAUCCUCCUCUGUCGUACUCUGUCCCCACCAGUGUGGUCAUGGGCUAGAAAAUCAAUCAGGCUCUUAAUCAGCAUGUGCAGCGGCAGCAGCACGGCCCAGCUCCUAACUCAGCAGAUCCAGGAGCACAGCCGCAGGGAGCCCCACCGGGAGGAGGGGACCGCACAGGACCUCGGACAGCCAGGGCCGCGGUGGGAUCGCCUCCAUGCUCACACCAAGACGUGACUUUUCUGAGCUGCUCGGUCUUGCUUCCUUUGCAUCCAAGGAUAGACCCUUCUCUUCACACUCAGCUUGGGAAACAUACACUUUUCGCUGUCCCAGGGGCAAGCCAGGGUUUCUCUUGAUCUGAUCUUCAGCGGAAGAAAAUUAGUCCAGGAUGAGUUUAUUUUUCCAAACCUCUCUGGUGCCUAACACAGUACAGCUGUCCCAGCGAGCCCAUACUGUCAAGAGGGAAUUUACAGUGUGCCAGGCUCUGGGCUAAAUACCUUCUAUACACCCAAUUUAAACAUCACAAAACCCCCAUAAGAUUUUGCAGAAGAAAGGAAGAGCCCUUCAUUUUGAAGUGUAAUGAGAGGAUGGAAUCGCAAAAUAGAAAACACAGGCAUGAAUAUGGAUACAGCUCUCCAUACGGCCCUGCUGACUAGAAAAUGACAAGGAAAAGGCUAUCAUGGCUUCUAUUACAAAGGAGGUAGUUUUACAACUUGGAGCAAGAGAUCCCGCUGAAGUCGGCCCCCUGCCCUCCCACAGAGACUGGAGAUAGAGGAGUUCUCUCCUUUGAUGAUUGCAUUUUAAAGAGAUGGUCCCUAGGUCCUAGAGAAAGGCAUUCCUAGGCUGUAACAUUGGCAAGAGGCUUUAAAAAGGAUUUAUGUACACCUCAAAGGGGCAGAGAAAGAAUUUACAAGUUUUCUAAUGAAAAUGCUCUAAGAAAAGGGAGGUCAGGAGAAGUCCGUUUGGAGUGUUUAGAAAAGCUGAUGGGAAAGGGAAGUCUGUCUUGGUCAGGGGGGAAACACAGCCGCUUGGCUCAGUCAAGGGAAUGUUGUCCCCUCCUUGAAUUGAAUUCUCUUUGAAUUCUCUUGCUUCUCUUUGUAAUCUUAGCCCAGCACCGUACUACAUCCCACAGAGCCUAGUGGAGGGGACAGAGAUGAAAGGCAGCUAAUUCCAGAAGACACCUCUUGGUGGGGGGGCAGGGGACCGACAGGAGGGAGAAGGACGGAGCAUGGACUGGGGUGGGAUGGAGAAAAGCAGCUUGCACAGCGCCUCCUUCUCUCUGUUCUGCCGGCUUCACUUCUUUCAGACCGGGACACACAGAGAGGGAGGACAGCUUGGGCUCCCUUUGCUUGACUCCUUCUCAAGGUUUUCGGAAGGGCUGAUGCUAUUUGCUUGCAACAAAGUGGCUGGGGGUGAGAUAACAAGCCAGCUGAAGCCAGGGCCUUUCUGCUGCACUAACAGUUACGACUCCCCAUAGGCCUAUCUCGGAGGGACUUGGCCAAGAUGAAUUGUCCUCUGAGAUGGAUUUACAGGAAGGCUUCAUGCCUCUAACCAGAGGGGCUUCCUGGGGAUAUGGCCGCCCUUGUAUUUGAGCAUUAGAAGUCCUGCCAGAAGGGCUGGCUUUCUGCCCAUUCCCAUUGUCUGCCGUGGCCGUGCUCUCCACAUAGCUGGUGACUGAGCAUGCAACACUGAUCGGACUUGAACUGUGACAAAGGACAACAGGCUUUCGCUAGUGACCUUUUCGAUAACCUGCCUUUUUGGCGGGGUGGGGGGUGGGGGUGGUUCUUGGAAUGGUAAGGAGGCAGCUGUUCCUGGAAAUGCAGCCAAGAGGCCUGGCAUGGGGCCUCGGGUAAUGUGCUGUGGGAGGCUGAGCAGCCCCUCUCCAACCGGCCCUGGUCACCACAUGCCCUACAGCACCUUUGGUCCGCUCAGCUGCCUCCUGCCUGGAACGAGAAGCGAGGAGCGAGGCUGCCAGGGCCACAGGGCUCUGAGGCUGAAGACGGGCUCAUCCAAGUACUGGCAUCUGCUACAGCCUGCCUGCUUUGUCAGUUGCUUCUGG
Long non-coding RNA from Ailuropoda melanoleuca (giant panda), 2326 nucleotides. RefSeq lists it as uncharacterized. The transcript has 4 exons. Lineage: Eukaryota; Metazoa; Chordata; Mammalia; Carnivora; Ursidae. The record is from RefSeq and is a predicted model, not a curated record.